CUGGCAGGUGCUGCAGCUAAAGUGGUCGUAGUAGGGGCUGCAGUUGUAGUUGUAGCAGGUGCUGCAGAUGUAGUUGUCGUAGUAGGUGCUGCAAUUGUAGUGGUCGUAGGAGCUACAGUUGUCGAAGGAGCUUCAGUUGUUCUUGCAGGUGCUGCAGUUGAAGUGGUCGUAGUAGGUGCUGCAGUUGUAGUUGUUGUAGUAUGUGCUGCAGUCGUAGUGGUUGUAAGAGCUACAGUUGUUGUAGUAGGAGCUGAAGUGAUUGUCGAAGUAGCUGCUGACGUUGUCGUGGUUGGGGAUAUAUUUGUUGUCGUAGAAGCUACAGUUGUUGUUGUAGGUGCUGCUGUUGUGGUUGUCGUAGGAGCUUCAGUUGUCGUUGUAGGUGCUUCCGUUGUGGUCGUAGGAUCUAAAAUUGUUGUAGUAGGAACUGCAGUUGUGGUUGUCGUAGAAACUGCAUUUGUAGUUGUCGUAGCAGCUGCAUUAGUUGUUGUCGUAGUAGGUGCUUCAGUUGUAGAAGUCGCAGGAGCUACAGAUGUUGUCGAAGGAGCUACAGUUGUUCUUGCAUGUGCUGCAGUUGCAGUGGUUGUAGUAGGUAAUGCAUUUGUAGUUGUCGUAAUAGGUGCUGCAAGUGUAGUUGUCGUAGUAGGUGCUGCUGGUGUAGUGGUUGUAGGAGCUGCAGUGGUUGUUGAAGUAGGUGUUGCAGUUGUAGUGGUCAUAGGAGCUACAGUUGUUGUUGUAGGAGCUUCAAUUGUAGUUGUAGCAGGUGCUGCAGUGGUUGUCGAAGUAGGUGCUGCAGUUGUAGGAGCUACGGUUGUCGUUGUUGGUGCUGCAGUUGUGGUUGUUGUAGGAGCUGCAUUAGUAGUUGUCGUCGUAGGUGCUGCAGUUGUAGGUGUUGUAGUUGUCGUAGUAGGUUCUUUUGUUGUGGUUGUCGUUGGAGCUUCAGUUGUAAUGGUCGUAAUAGGUGCUGCACUUGUAGUUGUCGUAGUAGGUUCUUUAGUUGUGGUUGACGUAGGAGCUUCAGAUGUAAUUGUCGUAAU
RNAcentral lists this long non-coding RNA (1034 nucleotides) under Salmo salar (Atlantic salmon). RNAcentral's name for it is "lncRNA (ENSSSAG00000120891.1)". Lineage: Eukaryota; Metazoa; Chordata; Actinopteri; Salmoniformes; Salmonidae. The record is from RNAcentral.